GACGAACGCUGGCGGCGUGCUUAACACAUGCAAGUCGAACGGUGAAGCGCCUUCCUUUUUGGUGGGUGUGGAUGAGUGGCGAACGGGUGAGUAACACGUGAGUAACCUGCCCCCUUCUUCUGGAUAACCGCAUGAAAGUGUGGCUAAUACGGGAUAUUCUGGGUCUGUCGCAUGAUGGGUCUGGGAAAGAUAUUGUUUCGGUGGGGGAUGGGCUCGCGGCCUAUCAGCUUGUUGGUGGGGUGAUGGCCUACCAAGGCGGUGACGGGUAGCCGGCCUGAGAGGGUGGACGGUCACACUGGGACUGAGACACGGCCCAGACUCCUACGGGAGGCAGCAGUGGGGAAUAUUGCACAAUGGGCGCAAGCCUGAUGCAGCGACGCCGCGUGAGGGAUGGAGGCCUUCGGGUUGUGAACCUCUUUCGCCAGUAAAGCAGGCCUGCCUCGUUUGUGGGUGGGUUGACGGUAGCUGGAUAAGAAGCGCCGGCUAACUACGUG
This 494-nucleotide ribosomal RNA is filed under the name uncultured bacterium. Its description in RNAcentral is "partial 16S ribosomal RNA". It matches the Rfam family "Bacterial small subunit ribosomal RNA", at positions 28 to 507 of the family's 1533-position model. The record is from RNAcentral.